This 253-nucleotide ribosomal RNA is filed under the name uncultured bacterium. RNAcentral describes it as "partial 16S ribosomal RNA". It matches the Rfam family "Bacterial small subunit ribosomal RNA", at positions 524 to 776 of the family's 1533-position model. The record is from RNAcentral.
UACGUAGGGUGCGAGCGUUAAUCGGAAUUACUGGGCGUAAAGCGUGCGCAGGCGGCUUUGCAAGACAGAUGUGAAAUCCCCGGGCUUAACCUGGGAACUGCAUUUGUGACUGCAUGGCUGGAGUGCGGCAGAGGGGGAUGGAAUUCCGCGUGUAGCAGUGAAAUGCGUAGAUAUGCGGAGGAACACCGAUGGCGAAGGCAGCCUUCUGGGCCAACACUGACGCUCAUGCACGAAAGCGUGGGGAGCAAACAGG